RNAcentral lists this ribosomal RNA (523 nucleotides) under uncultured bacterium. RNAcentral's name for it is "bacterial SSU rRNA". It matches the Rfam family "Bacterial small subunit ribosomal RNA", at positions 777 to 1304 of the family's 1533-position model. The record is from RNAcentral.
AAUAGAUACCCAGGUAGUCCACGCCGUAAACGAUGGAUACUAGCUGUUCGGUCGCAAGAUUGAGUGGCUAAGCGAAAGUGAUAAGUAUCCCACCUGGGGAGUACGAACGCAAGUUUGAAACUCAAAGGAAUUGACGGGGGCCCGCACAAGCGGUGGAGCAUGUGGUUUAAUUCGAUGAUACGCGAGGAACCUUACCAAGGCUUAAAUGUAUAUUGACAGGACUGGAAACAGUUUUUUCUUCGGACAAUUUACAAGGUGCUGCAUGGUUGUCGUCAGCUCGUGCCGUAAGGUGUCAGGUUAAGUCCUAUAACGAGCGCAACCCCUGUUGUUAGUUGCCAGCGAGUCAAGUCGGGAACUCUAACAAGACUGCCAGUGUAAACUGUGAGGAAGGUGGGGAUGACGUCAAAUCAUCACGGCCCUUACGCCUUGGGCUACACACGUGCUACAAUGGCCGGUACAGAGAGCAGCCACUGCGCGAGCAGGAGCGAAUCUAAGUAAAACCGGUCACAGUUCGGAUCGGAGU